This 263-nucleotide unclassified non-coding RNA is filed under the name plant metagenome. Its description in RNAcentral is "partial contains small subunit ribosomal RNA, internal transcribed spacer 1, and 5.8S ribosomal RNA". The record is from RNAcentral.
UUUCCGUAGGUGAACCCGCGGAAGGAUCAUUAUUGUAUAACCGAGGUGCGAGGGCUGUCGCUGACCCGAAAGGUCGUGCACGCCCGAGUGCUCUCACACACAUCCAUCUCACCCCUAUGUGCACCACCGCGUGGGUCCCCCUUUGGCUUGUUCGGAGGGGGGCUUACGUUUUCACACAAACUUUGUAUGCAGUGUAGAAUGUAUUUUUUGUUUUUGCGAUCACGCAAUCAAUACAACUUUCAACAACGGAUCUCUUGGCUCUC